GAGUUUGAUUAUGGCUCAGGACGAACGCUGGCGGCGUGCUUAACACAUGCAAGUCGAGCGGUGAUCCUCCUUCGGGAGGUGAUCAGCGGCGAACGGGGUGAGUAACACGUGGGCAACCUGCCCCUCACACUGGGAUAACCUCGGGAAACCGGGGCUAAUACCGGAUACGACCUCGAGCGGCAUCUCUUGAGGUGGAAAGCUCCGACGGUGAGGGAUGGGCCCGCGGCCUAUCAGCUUGUUGGUGGGGUAAUGGCCUACCAAGGCGACGACGGGUAGCCGGCCUGAGAGGGCGACCGGCCACACUGGGACUGAGACACGGCCCAGACUCCUACGGGAGGCAGCAGUGGGGAAUAUUGCGCAAUGGGCGAAAGCCUGACGCAGCGACGCCGCGUGAGGGAUGAAGGCCUCGGUUGUAACCUCUUCUAGCAGGACGAAGCGAAAGUGACGGUACCUGCAGAAGAAGACACCGGC
Molecule: ribosomal RNA, 471 nt
Filed under: uncultured bacterium
Lineage: Bacteria
Description: bacterial SSU rRNA
Rfam family: Bacterial small subunit ribosomal RNA
Source: RNAcentral